GCCGAGGUGGCGGAAAUGGCAGACGCGCUAGGCUCAGGACUUAGUGGGGCAACCCAUGGGGGUUCAAAUCCCCCCCUCGGCA
RNAcentral lists this transfer RNA (82 nucleotides) under Pseudomonadota bacterium. RNAcentral's name for it is "tRNA-Leu". It matches the Rfam family "tRNA". From Rfam's summary of the family: Transfer RNA (tRNA) molecules are approximately 80 nucleotides in length. Their secondary structure includes four short double-helical elements and three loops (D, anti-codon, and T loops). The record is from RNAcentral. Lineage: Bacteria; Pseudomonadati; Pseudomonadota. RNAcentral also lists the same sequence under 1 other name.